RNAcentral lists this ribosomal RNA (546 nucleotides) under uncultured eukaryote. Its description in RNAcentral is "eukaryotic LSU rRNA". It matches the Rfam family "Eukaryotic large subunit ribosomal RNA", at positions 18 to 528 of the family's 3401-position model. The record is from RNAcentral.
AGAACACCCGCUGAACUUAAGCAUAUCAGUAAGCGGAGGAAAAGAAACUAACUAGGAUUACCUCAGUAGCGGCGAGUGAAGAGGUAACAGCCCAAGAUGUUAAUCGGCCGUAAGGUUGAAUUGUAAUCUAUAGGGACUCCUGGAAGAAACCUAUGAGUCAUAAGUUCCUUGGAAAAGGAUACCAUAGAGGGUGAUAGUCCCGUCUUUGGAUUCAUAGGUUCGUACAGGUGUUUUCUAAGAGUCGGGUAGUUUGGGAAUGCUGCCCUAAUUAGGAGAUAUACUUCUUCUAAGGCUAAAUAUUUAUAGGAGACCGAUAGCAUACAAGUACUGCGAAGGAAAGAUGAAAAGAACUUUGAAAAGAGGGUUAAAAGACUUGAAAUCGUUAGAAAAGGAAGCAGUAGAAGAGUAAUUAUGUCUUCGUGAAACUCGUCGGGCAUCUAAUCAUGUGGGGGAGGAGUAUCUAACAGAGCUUACUUUUACAUGAGAUCGUGCACGGCCGUUCGCAGAGACUGGACAGAAUGAGAUCGACCUGGAAGAAUAAGGCGG